This 72-nucleotide transfer RNA is filed under the name Schistosoma japonicum. RNAcentral describes it as "tRNA-Arg". Lineage: Eukaryota; Metazoa; Platyhelminthes; Trematoda; Strigeidida; Schistosomatidae. The record is from RNAcentral.
AGCUCAGUGGUUCAAUGGUAAAGCGUUCGUAGCGAAGCUUAAAGGUCCUGGGUUCAAUCCCCGAUGGGGUCG